UCCAGAAGGGACAGGUCCAGACUGCCCUGGCCUUGCUGGGAGGGAGGGUGGGAUGGGGGUGAGAAUGGUGACCAUCCUGCUGCUGCUGCUCCUGGGUCCUGGUACCAUCACAGUCAUCUAUGGGACACCAAGGACAGCACCAGGUGCGCUGCACUCUGGAGCUGGGCACAUGAGGUUCUCCUGUUCUGGCACCAUAAGGAGGGGCACACCGGUGUGCCUGGGGAGAAGCUGGCACCCCUGUGUCUGGGACAGAAAAGAAACCAGGAAUCCAGUGUGACGUGCACCUGGCAGAGUCCAGGGGAGGCUUGGUGCAUCCAGGGGGUGGUGGUCCCUGAAUCUCCCUGACACAUUCUCUGGAUUUACCUUCAGUGCUUACUACAUGAGCUGGGUUGGUCACAUUAGAAACAACGAUGAUAGUCACACAAUAGAAUAGUCUAUACCUGUGAAAGGCAGAGUACCCAUCUCCAGAGAUCAUCCAAAAGCAAUGCCUACUUGGAAAUGAGCAGUGUGGGAGCCAAAGGCACAGCCCUGUAUUUCUGUGGGAGAGACAUAUCUCCAUGUGACACAAACCUCCCUUCUGAGGUGCUCUGGACCAGCAGGGGGCACCCAAGUUCAUCAGAAUAUUAUUUUGCUGCUAGGAGCACAAUUGGUAUUUAGAAAUCUGGAGUUUUCAUUUUGGAGCAGGUUCCUAGCAAGAAGCACAGACCCCUUUCUGCAUGCUGCAAACUGCCAAUUUAAAAUACUACCUAAUACUGUGGCACAGAGUGGGGCUUUCCUGGGUGUGGCCCAUCAAGUUGACAAGAUUUGCCUGCUCCUGUACCUAUUUUUUGAGUUUUUUUUCCUAUCAGAAUGCUAGAAUUUUAAAAAAAAGCUCUGUGUCUUCUAAGGUAAUAUACAUUUCCUCACUCUUAGCUUAUUAACAUAAUGAAAUAUUACAUUAUUUUACUGUAGAAUAAUGCAGUUAAUUUAAUUACAUUAAUUUAACUUAAUGUAAUUAAUUUAAUUAAUUACAUUAAUUAAAAUAAUGUAAAUAUUACAUUAUUUACUGUAGAAACACAAUUGGUUGUGCUGUGUUCUUUGUGUGGUGUUGGAUUCUUUUCUCAGAUUUGUUGAGAAUUAUUACAGAUAUGUUCACAGAAAUGUCAAUCUUUGGGGUCAUUUUCUUAUCUUGUAAUACCUUUGUCUAUAUCUGGAAUUAAUAAUGAUGGCCUCAUAGAGCAAGUUGGGAAGCAUUCUUUCCUCUUAAAUUUUCUAAACAAUUUAAGUAAAAUCAACAUUAUUUCUUCCUUCACUGUCUGGUGGACUAUACCAUUGAAAGUUUCUUUUCUCGGAAAGGUUUUAACUAAGAAUUUAAUUUUGCUAUUUCUUUUCCAGGCUCUUUCUUUGAAUGUGUAUGUUCCAUCUAGGAGUAUCAGCUCCUUAAGCUUUUACCUUAGACCCCUGUUCAUCAUCAUCCUGCAAAGUGGAGCCUCCUUAGUCCCUCACAUUGAUUCCAGUGACUGGGCAUGACUACAACCCCUGACCUGCAAGUAUAGGAAAGCUGCAGAGGGCUGCAGAAAGAAAGUCCCAGUCUUCCGGUUUUGCACUUGCAUUUCAAUGGUGAGACUUUGUUUUUAUGUGAUUUGUACAAAACAAUUUGAUUCACAGCAGUGUAAAUUUAAAAGAAAAUCUAGGGAAAGUGAAAACCAAACACUGGGGAAGGCAAUGCCAUGCAAGCCACAUUACACAAUGGUUUGGAGGAUUUCUUUUGGUUCAGGCCUGGGGUCUCCCCUAUCAGCCCACCCCACUGAUCCUUGGUUCCAUGAUGUGAAUCUGGUACACAGCCUCCCAAAGGAAAUGCUUCCUGAUGGUGCUACUCUUUAUUCUUUCAAAGAACCAACUCUUUGAUUCAUUGAUUUUUUUGUAUUGUUUUCUUAGUCUCUAUUGCAUUGAUUUCUGCUCUGAUUUUUAUAAUUUUCUCUCUUCUUUUGGCUUUGGGCUUGACUUGCUCUUCUUCUUUUAGAUGUUUAAGGUGUAACAUCAGGUUAUUUAUUUGUAUUCAUUCUGUCUUCCUGAUGUGGGAACUCAGUGCAAUAAAUUUUCCUCUGAGGACGGCUUUCAUUGCAUCCCACAGAUUCUGGUAAGUUGUAUUUGUGUUUUCAUUUGUUUGUAGGUAUUGUUUAACUUCUUCUUUAAUUUCCUCUGUGACCCACUGAUUACUCAAGAGUGUGUUAUUCAGUUUCCACGUGUUUGUGGGAUUUUUGUAGUAUCUUUUAUCAUUAGUUUCUAAUUUCAUAGCGCUAUGAUCCGAUAACAUGCAAGGGAUAAUUUCAACUCUUUUGCAUUUAUGUAAAUAUGUUCUGUGAGUUAAUAUAUGGUCUAUUUUAGAGAAUGACCCAUGUACUGCUGAGAAGAAUGUGUAUUCUGUUGUUAUUGGGUGGAAUACUCUGUAUAUGUCUAUCAAGUCCAUUUGUUCACAGUUGUGAUUCAGUUCUUUUAUUUCUUUGCUGAUUUUCUGUCUGGUUGAUCUGUCCAUUGGUGUCAAUGGUGUGUUAAGAUCUCCUGUUAUAAUUGUAUUACUGCUAAUUUGGUUUUUCAUUUCUGUUAAUACUUGUUUUAUAUAACUGGGUGCUCUGGAAUUUGGUGCAUUUAUAGUUAAGAUAGUUAUCUCUUCCUCUUGAAGUUUUCCCCUAACCGGUAUGUAGUGACCUUCUUUAUCUCUUCUGAUCAUUCUUGGUUUGAAGUUCAUGUUGUCUGCGAAUGGAAUAGCUACCCCCGCUUUUUUUUGGGUUCCUGUUGCAUGAAGUAUUGUUUUCCAUCCUUUGACUUUCAGUCUGUGGGUAUCCUUUUGGGUUAGAUGGGUUUCUUGUAGACAGCAUAAGGUGGGAUGUUGUUUCUUGAUCCAUUCUGCCAGUCUGUUUCUUUUAAUUGGUGCAUUGAGACCAUUUACAUUAAUGGCUAUAACUGUUGUAUAUUGGUUUAUUGUUGACAUGUUAUCUUUCUGCAGUUGCAUCUUUAUCUUUCUGUUCUGUUUAAUUGUCUGCUUCGUUUAAUGGUUUUUUACUAAAUGUAUUUAAACUGUCUUUCAGUAUUCUUUGCAGGGUUGGCUUGGUGAUCAUGAAGUUCUUCAGCUGUUCUUUUCAUGGAAGUAUCUUAUUUCUCCAUUGAUUUUGAAGGACAGUUUUUCAGGGUACAUCAGCCUAGGUUGGAAAUCAUUUUCUGUAAGUAUCUGAAAUACUUCACUCCAUGCUCUUCUUGACUUUAUUGUUUGUGCUGAGAAGUCUGCUGUGAUUCUGAUAGGUUUUCCUUUAUAGGUGAUCUGUCUUUUCUCUCUGACAGCUUUUAAUAUUCUAUUCUUUUGUUUGAUUUCCGGGAUGGUCAUUAUUAUAUGCCUGGGUAUAGUUUUAUUUUGGUUAUGUCUAUUUGGAGUUCUAUAUGCUUCAUGGAUCUUGAUAUCAGUUUCCAAUCUCGUGUUUGGGAAAUUUUCAGCUAUUACUUCUCUAAAUAUCCUCUUGACAUCCUUUGUAUUGUCGCCUUCUUUUUCAUUUAUCCCUAUCAACCUUAUGUUGUUUUUCUUUGCAUCAUCUUGCAGGUGUUGAUUUGUUAUUUCCUGAUUUCUUGUUAUUUUUAAAAGAUCUUUCCUUUCAUGUUCACUGGCUGCAAUCUUGUCUUCAAGGUCUGGUUUGAAAUUCUAUCUUCACAUACAUUGAGGCUGUUUUUACAACUUUCAGUGGAAUUUUUGAUGUCCUGUAUAUCUUUUUGCAUCUGUUUUAUAUAUUCUGUUUGUUUCUUUUUUUUUCUUUUUUUUUUUAUUUAAGAGGAAAAAGAGAAAAACACAAAACAAACCAAAGCGGCGUAAGGGUACACGCAAUACAGAACUACAAAACAAAACAAAACAAAACAAAACAAAACAAAACAAAAAACCAUAACAGUAAGAAAUUACCUGCUAGUAGAUUACACACUAUUUUCUUGAAAACAGUUCCUCAAAUCACAGUAUCAAAGAACACAAGGUGGACAUUCAAACAGGGAGACUGCAAACAGCUGUGUUCAAUGUUCCAAAAACAUUGAUAAAGUCAGCUAUUUAACACCCCCAAACACACUUGCUGUUAUAUCCGUUAGAGCUCUUUUUCUUUUUUUUUUUCCCCUCUCUUUUUUACAACAAAAUUUACACAUCUUGGAUUUUAUUACUCCUUAGUGCUUAUUACUUUCAUGGGGGGGGGGGGAAGAAUACAGUCAAAUAUGGCAAAACAAAGCUGUCAGUCAAUACCAAGGAUAGACAUAGCGCAUGGUGUAGAACAGAGUACAAGUUUAUCAACAAUAGUUAUCAACGUUGUCCCUUGUUUCCUUAAAAAGAAUUGUCUAUCUUAUUAGAUAUUAUAAAGUUGGACAAAACAGUAGAGAACAAGACCAAUAAAACUUAGGCAUUGUAAACAUUACAGGACUUCCAAAGAAGACAAUAGUCAAACCAGAAUUGGUAUCUUAGUGAAUCUUAUUGUCUUCAAAGUAGUUGCCUAUGUCUUCAAACUUGAUACUAUCAUAUAGAAUGGAACAGAGUCUAAUCAGUCAAAACAAGAUCGUGGGAGUACUACAGGACUUCAAAACAAGUUAAUAGGAAAUCGAAAAGAGUUACUAUUUAUAUAUCCUAAUUUUUUUUUGAAUUUUUUCUUUAAUUAAGACAAACAUAAGAAAUGGCUAAAUAAUUUUUUUUGAGACAAUAAGGGGGAGAUUGAGAUAAAACAGGACAUAACAAUAUAACAAUACAGGUCAAAGCAUGAUUGUUUCAGCAACCUAGUGGUUCACCACCAAAUAACCCAACUUAAUAGUAGUUACCAAGUGUCUGUCUUUUUCCUUGAAAUAUUUGAAUAAAACUUCAUAUACUAUAGCUUCAAAUAUUUCCAUAUCAAGAAGCCCAGAAUAAAGCCUUUCCAAUUAAUAAGUGAAAACUUUAUAAGGCUUCAAGGCCACAUAAUGGGGAAUCAUGAUUACCACAUAUUUUUAUAUAUUUGAAUCAUUACUUACAUUAGGGAAACUAUUCGGUAU
Cavia porcellus (domestic guinea pig) is the source of this 5019-nucleotide long non-coding RNA. RefSeq lists it as uncharacterized. The record is from RefSeq and is a predicted model, not a curated record. NCBI's taxonomy places the organism in Eukaryota, Metazoa, Chordata, Mammalia, Rodentia, Caviidae. The transcript has 3 exons.